Ostrinia furnacalis (Asian corn borer) is the source of this 4512-nucleotide RNA transcript. It is a transcript of the gene named transmembrane channel-like protein 7, with no coding region annotated. Lineage: Eukaryota; Metazoa; Arthropoda; Insecta; Lepidoptera; Crambidae. The transcript is spliced from 6 exons. The record is from RefSeq and is a predicted model, not a curated record.
CGGAACGCCGCACCACUCCUCUGCUUUUAUUUUGAUGUGGUCGUCUCAGUUUUUAAAAUAAAAUUAGUUUAAUUAGACCGUUUAAUUAGGCAGUUGUUGUGUAAAUAAUAAGUGAUAAUGUGCUUCUACUACGUACCAGUGACUAUAUUGUGAUGUUCAGCUGUUAUACCAAAGAACCUGCAUUGUUUACACGAUAAAAUGCACACCUAAGCCAUGUCAGGCAGCAACUCGAAGCGGGCGGCGCGCGCGCGUCACUCGGGCUGGGAGGAGGCCGGGGGCGAGUUCUACCAGGAGCUGUAUCCGGGCGGGGAGCAGGAGCUCUUCGAGAACCUGCAGCGCGCCGACGCGGCCAAGCUGGCUACGCUGCUGCCCUCAAAACAGGCUAGGAACACGACCACAGUGAAGCGAGCGCGGUCACAGAAUGAGCGGCGCCAGUCAACCUACGCACGCACCACUCAAAGCCGCGACAUACACCUGUCUAUGCUGCCGGAUCUAUCAGAAAACCUGUCAAAUGAAGAACGCACGUGGGAAGAGAUCAUGCAGAUCAAAGCCAUGCCGGUGCCCAUGAUACAGAAGCGGGAACUCAAGGCGAGGCUACAGAACGCAACAAAACUCCGCUUGCAAGGUUUAGAACAACUGCAUUGGAAGCAACGUAAAGUAUGGCAUCGGUUUCGCAUCAGAUGUGGCGAAUUGUUAGGGAAAUUGGAGCUAUGGCAGUCCCCUAUGAGAGAAAUAGAGGGCUCCUUUGGAACCGGCGUGGUUUCCUACUUUCUUUUCCUCAGAUGGUUAUUAUUUCUAAACCUAGCUAUAUCAGUGUUCGUCAUACUAUUUCUAAUAGUCCCAAAUACAGUUUUAGUUGAAGAUAAACACGAUUGCAACGACUUCGAAUGGAAUUCCACCGUUUGCUGCUCUCAGACGUACUUCGAAAGGAAUCUGACGGAUUCAAAUGUGUUCUUAGACAUCAUACAAGGCACUGGUAUUAUGGAGCGAACGAUUUUAUUCUAUGGGGUGUACAGCAACCAAAUAUACUCGUAUUUCAUCAAAAGCUUCUUCGAAACUAAAAUGUUUUAUAACAUGCCUCUAGCGUAUAUACUCGUCCCGAUUUCGUGGGCGUUGCUAUCCUUGAUAGCUAUAGUCAAAACCGGAGCUAAAGGCUUCAAAGAAAAAUUGGUGGAAAGUGAAGGACAGUUCUAUAUGUACUGUAACCUGGUAUUUGGAGGCUGGGACUUCUGUAUCCAAAAUGAUAAAUCAGCUAAAAUCAAACACAAAGCUUUGUUCAAUGAAGUCAAAGGAUGCUUAGAAGAAGAAAGGUUCAAAGAAGAAAAGCAGUUACGGACGAGAGAAAGCCAAAUACUGCUGCAUUUGAGAAGAUUGCUAGUCAACAUCAUAGUUCUGAUCAUUUUGAUUGGUUCAGGGAUACUGAUUUACGUGGUGUUCAAUUAUUCCGUAGACAGACUCAACGUUGAAAACGAAUUCGACCCAUACGAAACGACAAACGAACUAGAUGACUAUGACACUUUGAACAGAACGUCCGAAAGACUGACUCUGAGCCAAUUAAGUCGCGAUAGGUCAGUUUCCUCAAGUUUAACUAGAGACAGCACGUUUUUUGAGCAAUUAGAAACAACGCUGCUAGAAUUCCUGCCCUUCAUAUCCAUUGUAGUCUUAAACAUAAUUGUGCCAGAAAUCUUCAGCUACUUAAUAAGCUUCGAGAACUAUGCCCCAGCUAACAUAAUCAUAGUGACGAUUCUAAGAACGGUUUUGCUCAGGCUUUCGUCUCUAGCUGUUCUUCUGAGUCAGAUAUACAUAUACAUUUACUCCAGCGGCCAAAUAUGCUCGAAAGGCAAUGAAGAUGCCAACCCAUUAGAUUGCUGGGAAACAUACGUAGGACAGCAGUUAUACAAGCUCAUAUUAACAGACUUCGCCCUACAAUUUGUGACUACGUUCCUUAUAAACCUACCCAGGGCUUUUAUAGCAAGGCACACGUCCAGUCGAUGCUUAAAAAUCAUAGGCGAACAAGACUUCUACUUGCCAAAGCAUGUUUUAGACAUCGUGUAUACGCAAACUAUUAUUUGGAUGGGAUCAUUCUUCUGUCCUUUUCUGCCCAUCAUAGGAACGGUUUAUUACUUCAUUGUUUUUUACGUCAAAAAGUUUACGUGUCUCACAAACUGCACGCCCUCUCCCGUUGUGUAUAAAGCGUCGAAAUCCAAGUCAUUAUUCAUGUCAGUUUUAUUACUAGGCUUCGUCAUAUCCAUAGCUCCUGUAGCGUAUUCAGUCGCAGAGUUGCUGCCUUCUAUAAACUGCGGGCCUUUUAGAGGCUAUAAUACUGUGUGGGACUACGUUAUAGAGACUUUUGAAAAGUUCCCGUACGUUUUGAGAGAGAUAGUCUUCCUUUUAGGUACAGCGGUCUUCGCUGUGCCUGCGUUCGCUGUUUUAUUAUUCUUUUUGUAUUAUUACUGGGCAGUGGCGACAGCUAAUAGGCAUAUGGUGACUGUUUUGAAGAACCAGCUAGUUUUGGAGGGCCAUGAUAAGCAAUUCUUGCUGAAUAGACUCAGUGCCUUCAUAAGGCAGCACCAGAAACGGUGUGAGAGAAGAAAUAGAGCUAGUUUCGCGGACGACGAUACUGCAUCCAUUAGGCAGAGCUCGAGGUAAGUUUUAGUAAUUAAAAAUAUCAGAACUGAUUUAAUCGAAAUUAAAUUUAGCCGCUAGCAAAUUACGUACGUAAUACGAUAUCCAUAAUUAUCCGCGCAAUGGUAUCAAUUACUAAACAGUACAUAAUAGUUACACGGUAAGGUAAAAUAGGGGUUUUUAUAUAAAAUAAUGUAAAACAAUAUUUGAACGUAAGAAAAAAUAUGUAAAUAUGUUCGUUUGAUAUGUCAAAGAAAAUCGGUUGAAAAUGUAUGUAAUAAGUAAAUGUUUUUGUAAAAUUAAAUUAUUUGGAAGAAUUCGCUUUGCGAGCAUUCGUUACGCAAGCAUUGUUACUCGAGUACUUUGCAAAUCAAAACGUGAAGAUUGACCAUUUGAUGAUAUGUGUGUACUACGAUUGACUCGAGUGAUGCACCCUGAGUUUUACAAGUCCCAAACUUGCCAAUUCAGUGAGAUCAUAAAAUAAUGAUCAAUAACUAUGAGACAAAAAUGUUUUAACUCAACUGUGUUGUUAGAACUUUUUUAGUUACAGAUUUUAGAUUAGACGAAUAGCCUAGCCACAAAAGCGAAAAUCGCUUGUCCAAUGAAACUCUUCGGCUCGCGAGCGAAUGUGCUCGUGUAACAAACGCUCGCGUAACAAAUGCUCGCAAGCCUCUUCCAGGCAGCUUCGGUUGUUAUUUAAUGUAAUAUUCUUCUCAUUUUGUAUCCAUCCAUUGUAGUAAGGAAUAUAACGUAUGCUUCCAAUUAGUAAAAUUAUAUUUUUAUUCGUUUUUGUUUUUUAUAUCACUGUAGUACAUUCCUUCAUGUAACUUAAUGUUAAUUUUAUUUUUGUUUAAAACUGUAUCCUUUUUGUUGUAGUUUUUUGAACGAGAAUUUGUGACCGUUACUACUAAAAAACUUUUGUCCUUUUCUGGAUAAAACAAUAUUUAUUUAAUCUUUUAGUAAAAUUAAUAAAUCCAUGACCCUGUUCCUGAUUUUUAGAAUACUCGAGCCAUAAUAUUUUGUUUUUAUCAUAACCAAUGACUUAGAAUUAAGUAGAAAAGGCAUUUGUGUAUUUUAGAAAAAAAUGUUUAUUUAUUUGCGGCUAUGCUUUUAGUAAUAUUGAAAUUUUAUGAAGAUUAAGCAUGUAGUUGGUACAACUAGUCAAUUGACAUAUUUAAUUUGAGCUGUCAAAACAUGACCGCCAUUUUUGUAUGGCAAGGGCAACUAAUGACGUCAUCAGUUUGCAAACCAACAUUAAUUGAUUUCAAAGCUGCUAAAAAUCUACAGCAUAUUAAAAACUAUCGGUUCCUAGGCUAAAAUAACGUUUGUUUGUUGUGUUUUUUUAAAGUUGUAUUUUGGAAUUUUUUGUCAUCUACCCAAUGUUUUUUCUUAUUUUUAAAUCUUAGAAAAUAGUAAAAAGUAAUUGUAAAACGUUCUUUGCCAACAAUAUAGUCCAAAUGCAUUACUCAUUAAGUAGUAGAUUUUUAUAAAAAGCUACCACACUAAGUUGAGAUUGUAAAUCUGUAAAUACAUAGCAUUUUGUAGUAAAAUAGUGCAUUUAGUGAUCUCAAAAUAUGUGCAAUCAUUCAUUAGAAUUUUACCAAUUAUGCUAACUUAAAAUGUUGUAAUAACGUUUUAAAAUAAACUUGCCACCCUGUAUUAAUCUAGGGACGUUUUGAAUCUAAACUGCAUACACAUUCGUAUAAAUUACCAUAUUUGUAUAAAAAAAAAGACAAAUAUUAUUUAAAAAAUUCAUGUUGUUUCCAGCAUUUUUGGGAAAUUCUAUGAAUAGAUUUAAAAAUAAAGAUAAGAAAUAUAUCUGUACAUUGGAUCGUUUUAUAUCAUAGUUGUAUUGUAUAGUCGGUAAAAUAUUUAUUUACUAUUAUG